This 266-nucleotide long non-coding RNA is filed under the name Bos indicus x Bos taurus (hybrid cattle). Its description in RNAcentral is "lncRNA (ENSBIXG00005010421.1)". The record is from RNAcentral. Lineage: Eukaryota; Metazoa; Chordata; Mammalia; Artiodactyla; Bovidae.
CUGCUAGCAAAGUGGACUUGCGUUUUGUAUUCAGUUCCUUUUCACACCGACGGGAAGAGGUGAGGAGAGAAACGUCUAAAUGUCAGACAGUCAGUAAGAAGGAGACUGCUGUUUCUCAGCAGAGGUAAUUGGAUGGACCUUUCUCAACCCUGGACCAGGGAGUGAAGGCGCCUUCCAGUUUCCACAUCAACACAAGAAGUAGGAAAUCCACAUAUCAUCAGGGGCCAGAAGUGACCGAAGCAGUCUUCCCUGGUGGCACUGUGAGU